AAGAAUCCCCCUUUCUCCUGUAUACUUUAGGCUUCUUUUCCUUUUUCCGUCUUCAUCUUUAGAAUCGAUUAAAUUUAGUCCAGUAUUCGAUUUAUAGCUCCUCUUGCCAGACAUUUGAUAGGAUUUCCUUUGAUUUCUUGCAAGCAUUCGGUUUGAGCCCCACUGGGAGUUGAAUAAAUUACUUAACCACAGGAAAAAAUUAUCUUCUUCUGGAUUUAUUAAUUCCUGGAACAAUCUAUAGACCGCUAGUUCUUUCCGGCAGAACCGUCAAUUAGAUCUCGGGCCUGGGAAAAUUUUGAAGGACUUCGUUUGCUCAUGAUCAAUGUCAGAUGGGUUUUUAGCCUAGAAGAAUGAUCGUGUGCCAGUGUUGUGUAGCUGAUAAAAUUAGUGAUCAGAUGGCUAUAGACUGCAGCGGAAGUAUGGGAAGUCCAACUGGAUUGGCACUGGAAAUAUCAGUUGGAUGACUACAUGGAUGAUCAAAAAUUAAUGCAUCCAAAUUAUGACCUGGGGGCUCCACUUGACGGGAAAGAUGCUCUCAUGUUUAUUUUUGAAUUUUUCGUCACACCCCAAUGUACUGGGGAUUGUGUUUCAGCUCAACUAGUUGGCUUAUAAUUUUGUCCGUUUAGAGAAAUUCAAUUGCUUGGGUGAAGCCUCAUCAUCUGACCUAUCUGUUUAGACUUUUACCAAGAUCAGGGGAAUCUUAAUGGGGCACCAGAAAGUUUCAUAAGCUUAAAUUAUGACUGAUGGGGCAGGUCUAUUCUUGCUAGCCUUUUGGGUUUCAGUCUUUCAGAACAGAUCUCCCCCCUGCCACUGCAAGGAACUCGACACUAAUUUGAUAGGGAUGACCUAAAAUUGUCAACUGGUCAACAGAAUGUACUUGAUCCCUCUAUAGAGCCUUCUUGACCAAGAGUUAUGUUCCAUAACUGACCCUAUUCCAAUGAGUGUAGGUUUGGAUGGUGAUUAUGAGUCAACACCUAAGGCAUGUUAGAAGGGGUCAUCUUUAGCUUUUAUUUGUAAAAGAGAUAUAAUGGCUAGCUCAAAAAAUAGGCGGAACAAUAUUGGAGGCCUUCUACAUAUUAUGUGUUAUCAAUGUCUGAAAAGGCAGGGACAUAAGGCUUGGUGCUAGAACAUUUUAGGUUUUUUUUUUUUUUAAAGCAAUGAUACUUUCUUCUUGGUGAUGACUUAAUCAAGACCCUUGGGUGUCAAUUGUCAAGACAUAACAAUAGUACCACUCCUUCAAUAGUUAUGUUGCUAAAAAAUUGACCAUAUCGAUCAGUAUAAUCAUAUCUCAAAACUCUAAAACCUGAAGCCUAACCUUGGAUCUAUAUGUACUACCCUAUCCCUGUUUGUCCCAUAAUAAAUAUUUUAUCUAGCUCUUUUACAUCUACUAGUUCAUUUUAAAUUGAUGGCAAGCAAUGUCUUAAAUUUUUGACAACUUGUAAAUUUAAUUCCUGGUUUAGGAAACCCACUAGAAAUUUUGAUGUACUUUUAAACCUCUCAAUUACCCCUAUACUUUUAGCAUUGAAGAUCCAAUUUGUAAUUAAAACUGUCUUGCAUCCAAUUUGUUAUCAAAUUUCUCCAAAAUUCUUUAUUACCAAACUCUAUUUUGCACCCAUCUCGGUGUUAAAUCUUUCCAAGUUCUUGUUUGCAUUUAUUUUCUUGUGAGUUGGAUAUUAUUAUUCAAAUACUUUUCUAGGAUCCAAUAUGUUGAUAGGUUUGGAAAGGUUUUAAUGUAUUUUCAAAUGAUAAAGAGUUUGAGGCAGCAAAAGGGGAGGAGAGAUUAGGCAGUAACUUUUUAAGGAGGAAAUUAACUUGUUUAGGAUCUAAGAAAGGUCAAUUAGUAUAGAUGGCUACCCACCAUACAGCUUCUAAAAAGUUUAGCUUAUUUCAUUCUUUUCUUCUUCCUAUUCUUGCGUUUAAGUAAUGCUCUUCUUUUGUUUAAGUGAUGGUCUUAUGUUACUAUGAUCUUUAUAUGAGGAUACCAUUGGGCAAUGAUAUGUACUGUGUGCUGCAUGAUAUUCUGAAAAGUACACAGAUUUUGUAGGCUUGGUUGAGGGUCUCUGGCUUAUGACAGCUUUUUAUGUUUCUAUACUUUGAGAGAGCAACUUUUUAAUAAUCCUGUCUCAAUGGAUCCUACAUUUUAAUUAUCCCUUUCAUCCAAAAUUCCUUGUUGAUUGUUAUUCUGAAUGAAUCCCUGUUCUGUAUUUUUUUCUCAAGCUCACAAUGUUUAUAAUAGAAUUUGUAGAUAUGGGAUGUUGCAUGCUUACCUUUUGUCUGCGUCAAUGUGCUAUACUAAUAUCUUUUUACUCAGAGUUUGACCCUACAUAUUCUUUAUUUCUUUCCUCCUGAAUUACUAAAUUUGAAUACUCAAAAUUCAGGUCAGAGAUGAGGAAGGUCGCAGAAGAUUUCAUGGUGCAUUCACUGGAGGCUUUUCUGCUGGCUACUACAAUACUGUUGGUUCAAAAGAGGGUUCGUUCUUUUAAGAAUUACUGAAAAUUGUUUUAUGGGUGAAAUUGGGCAGCAGUCUGAAGAAUCUGGUAGAAAUUAAUUGCAGGAUGGACUCCACAGACAUUUACGUCAUCACGCAAAAAUAGAGCUGAAGUGAAACAGCAGACUAUAUAUAAUUUUUUUGAUGAAGAUGAUAUUAAGGUAUUUCCUGUGAUUUUUUUUUUGUUGUCUCCUGUUCAAUAUCGGUUGCAUUUUCAAGGCAUGGAAGAUAUUUGGCCCUUUAUUAUCUUCUAGAAUAGGUUUACAUUUUUCUUAGAUUAACUACAGUCAAGGAUCAAUGUUUUCAUUUUGGCAGAGAUCUCGGCUAAGAUGUUGGUUUGCAUUGGUACUGGGCACUCGCGCUCAGCCAUUAUUAUCUUGGCUUAUAUAAACCAAUAUAUAUCAGCUGAUGCAAUAUAAAAACAUCGGUCGAACUUCCUUGUAAAUAUUUUAUGAUCUUAAAAUUUCUCUUUUGCUAUUAAAUAUUUAAGUUAAUGUCUUAAUGUGUUCGCUAAUUUUGCAUUUACUGUAUUUACUUAGAUUCCAAUAUCUUAUUUCCUAAAAUACUGGCUGGGCUCUUCUUGGCUGAGACAAACCAAGGCAUCAGUCUGUUUUGGUGUUGGCUAUCCACUGAGUGGCUGAGUUUUUCAGUUUUAGAAACAUUGACAAAAUCUUUAAAAUCCUACCAAAAUAGUAAUUUCUUUUUGUAUUCUAAGAGAGCUUGCUAAAAUUAAAGCACCGUUUUCCAUUAUUAUUAUACAUAAACUUUAAAAUGGGCCUGUUACCUUCACAAUACCGCUUACUUUGUUGACAUCAGAUGCAUUCAUCUUGUUUAGAAGCACCUCAUCUUUAUUCUACUAAUACAAUUAUAUACAAUUAUAUACACUUUAUAUAUUACACAUGCUUUGGUAGUGACUGAAGCACUCAUUUGGUUUUUCCUUCACAUGCUAUUAAAAACCAAAAGGCUUUGGUCAUUUUAUCAUCUGCAUUAUAUAUUGUCAUUUUGCUUGAUUCACGGACAAUUUUUUGCAUGUGGUUGGAUACUAAAUCAUCCUUUAAAUCCUUAAGUAAGUCACCAGGUUCAAGCAUGUUAUAAUCUUUGAUUAUUGGAAAUAAUUAUAUAACACUAUACUUUAAGAUUAAAAUGUCAAAUAGCUGUAUUAAUAUGAUUUUAGGGUGCCUUCAUGUGACAGGUCUUCUGAAAGUAUUAGAUAAACCAAGGGAUCCAUUUAGACUGAGUUAUCGUGCCUGAAAGUGCUGUUCAAUAUCCAAUCUUAUCAAUGUUACUUUCUUUUCCAGAAAGCUGUGUAAUUUAUAGCCUUAGCAGAAAGUGUCAUUGAUAAGUGUUGGAUAAUCACAGUUAUUUUUAUUUGACUACAAGAUUAUGAUCUGGGUUCUUACAAGUUCCAAUCAUUGUGCUUAUGACAUACAGGGUAUGGGAGGGCAUGCGUUGGAGACAUCCCUGCAAUUUGAUACCUUUGGAUUUACUGCUGCAGAAUUUGCCCGUAAGAAGGCAGAGAAGGAACAACAGAAGAGGUCAUUUCAACCUUGUUGUAUGGUUUACUUGCCAGAAUAUAAUAAAUUUUAAACUUGAUGUAAUGUUGUUGUAGCUUAGCCUUCAUAGACUUCAGAUCAAACAAAUCCUUUCCAAACAAUGACAAACUUUAUCCUGUCAGUCUGGGGCCAGCUACAUCAAAAUCAACCUCAGAAAUUUCUUCCAAACUCUUUUUCUACAAGCAGUUUUCCUUUUCCCCACUGCCCCUCUCUUUUCUUCUCUCUCCUCUCUUCUUUCCUUUCUCUUCUCUCCUAUAAGUUCUGGUAUUCUCGUCCCUCUCCUUCUAUCCUUUUAUGUCUUUCUUAUCACCUCUUAAGAGGGAUUGCUAAGUCUUGUCCUCCUUUCUAAUUUUAUUGUACUGGUAUGGACUAGAGUGAGAAUGGGUUGGAUUUUGGUUAGGGUCAGUUGGCCUAUUCAUUUUUUUGGGUUGAAAAAAUAAACUUUACCCAACCUAUUUAUUUUUAUAUGGGCCGAUGCUCUGCCUGGAAACAUAGUUAGAGCUCUACCAAUCAAUUAUUUUCCUUAAAAAAAUGAAAACAAAACAGAGUAAAAAGAGGGAGUUAGAGUUGGAGGUCCUAAAAAAAACUAAGAGAGAGGAGAGAUGGAAAUGAAAGUGUACCAAAAAAAAAGAUGUAUCAUGUCCAUGGUGCCUGAUUCAUUUUUCUUUUCAUUGCUUAUUUAUAGUUUCCUCACAGGUUGUUUUGCAAUCCAGUGCUAUUGUCUCUUUUUUGCAUCUUUGUCAAAGUUUCUCAACUUUUCUGUCUAAAUGCUUCAUUUGUUUAUUUUUUCCCUUUCAACAAUCUUCCAUCUGCAUAUUGUCAUUACUUACCUCCUUUGUUCUUGGGGUUGGCAGUAUAUUGUUCUCAAUUAGUUACACAACUUGCAAAAUUAAAUUAGAACUACAUGGGCUGUCCCAUUAUACAGUGCAGAUGGAAAUCUUUUCAUCUAAGUUGGAAAUGGAAUUUAUAAUGUGCUUUCAGCAUAGUUUAGGCCCUGUUUGUCAUCACUUGUGGUUUAUGGUUUUCAGUUUUCUUUUCUUUUUUUUUUAAACAUGAAAGUUAAAUCAGAAUGGUGUGUGGUAAUUUCAUUUCUUUUUUUUUAGUUUCUCUUUUUUUCAAAACAAAUUGAUAUCCUGAUUUUUUGAAAAUGUGAAGCUGAAAAAUCUGGUUUCUAUAUAUUUUUUUUUUUGAAAACCAAAACUGCCCACGAUGCUCACUGCCACCUCUGUUGGCACACCUUGCUGGCCCGAUAGCACUGCAAUGGGUACCCUUGCGGGCCUAGUAGCUGCUGCCACCACUGCUACUACCACUAUUACCACUUCUAUUACCACCACUGCCACCAGCAUCUUUGCAACCUAGCCGCUGCCAAAUGCAAUCUACGCGAUCAUCAAAUAAUUUUCAGGUCUUCGGUUGUGAGAAAUAAAAAAUAGAAAACCGGGUUGAGUGAUGCCAAAGGAUACCUUAACUUAGGGGUGCAAACCGGAAGUGAUGCCAAAGGUUCAAUUUCAGCAGCUUGAUCUUGGCUUGCUAAGAGCUUGUUUGAUCUCGACUCAUCUAGGAAAUCAAACACUUUUUAGAGCUCAGCUCAUAAACGAGCUAAUCUGGAAUGCUGAUGUUGUUCAGAUAUAAUGGAAAAGCUUGCCCGGGCUCAGGGCUUAGCCAAGCCACGCUUGAACAGGUUAUGUUGAGCUCAGCUCGAGUUUGAGACACGCUCAAGCAGCUGUUUGGUUCCAAGCUGAGCUUGAGCAGCCUGGUACUUGGCCUUGACUUGGCUUGUUUGCACCCCUACCUUAACUUAGUAUAAGUGGUGCUACUCUUUUUUAUAACACUGGAGAAAAUUCAUUAAUGUUAAUUGGAAAAUAUAAAUUCAGUUGAGUUGAUUUGUUACUGGAAGUAUGAUCAACCCAGUUGUGACAUGAAACAUUCCUGGAUAUUGCAUUGUUUGGCCUCCUUAUAAAUGUAAUCCUGCAUUUUUUUCCAUUGCAGACCAUCAGCUAUUCCUGGACCUGUUCCUGAUGAAAUAGUUCUUCCUGCAGCAAAUUCUAUUGGUUUGUUUUGUUUUUUUAUUGUAAAUUUGAUUCAGUAACCAAAUUUUCUUGGCCCAAAGUUUUCUACUUUGGUACCAUUACAUUUCAAUCUUAAUUUUCUAUAGGUAUAAAGCUAUUGCUGAAAAUGGGAUGGCGUCAUGGUCAUUCUAUCAAGGACACACAUACUGAUUCCUUGUAUGGUAUGCUUUUUGGGUGCCUUGUGGCAUUAGCGAUAUUUGUGGCCUUCAUGUCUCUAAACAUACUUAGCCUUGCAUUCGUAUGUGUUUGAUAUUAAGUUAUUUGCUAUUCUUCAAAUAUUUUUGUUUUGGGAUACUGUGAGAUUUAUGGUACUCAAAACACUUAAGGUUUAUUGCGAGUGCCCAGAUAUCAGAUUGACUUGACUAUGUAGUGGUAGUUGAUAGCAGUCACUUCACCUUAUUUGGUCCAAAUUUUGAUAAAUAACAAAAUCUGUUUGUACCAAAAAAAAUCUUGUACUUUUUUAAAGCAACUUUAUUACUUUUAUUAUUUGUGGUUCGAUUUUAAAUCUUAUCCGAUCCAUAUUUUAUAUUUCUGGUCAGUUUUUGGUAGCUAUUUCAAUUAUCUUACAACUUGUGACCUAAUCCUACCAAACAAAUUGAAUCAAAUACUAUUAAAUAUUUUGUUACAAAAUUGUCUACUAGAGAUCUAAUCUUUUAACAUUUGAUAAUGUUCAAUUAAAAGAUCUCCUCAAACAUGCAUAGAGUGAUAAUUACAUGUGGUCUUGAUAAUCACAGUAAUGUGAUGGAGAUCUUUUUUCCCUAUGAAAUCACUCGACCAGUUGCUUUCAGCUUGUAAAGGUACUUCUUUGUGGCAUAUCUUUGAAGCAAAUUAAGCUGCAUUUUAUGGAUUUAUAUUAUGGAAUAUACACACAUACAUAUACCUGUAUGUAUAUUGGAUGCAAAAUCCAGGUUAUAUAGAACUUCGUACUUUUUUUUGGGGGAAAAUUAUGGUUUUCUUUUGGUUCUUGGAAUUUAAGAUACGGAGUAUCUAUCUGUAGAACUUCAUACUUUCUGUUCUUACUUUAUAUGAUUUUAUGAUUCUUCUUUAUUGGAGGGUUUUGGGGGAGAGGGCGGGGUUCUGGGGGUUUCACAGAUGCCUUUAUUUAAUGGUCCUGAGGAUGGUUUGAAGGGUUGCAUAGCUUUGAAAGAUAUUGCAGUAAUGUUCCCAGAGGUUUUGCAUCUUGGUGCCUGUAUAAAUUCAUAUACUCAAUUUGUAAAAAAUUAAUAUGUGAAAACAGAUUCUUCCAUUAGGGCAUCAUCAUGCUAUCAGCUUUUUUGAUUAAAAUUUUAUUGGUGAUAUCUUUUGUUCUUGCAGUAUUUUAGUAAGUGUUGGGAUUUAACCAUGCAUCUGAUCUAAAUUUUUGUUGCUUUUAGAAGCACGCAGAGAAGCUAGAAAAGCAUUCCUGGCCUUUUCUGGUAAUGACGGAGGACCAGAACUUGCUCAAAAUGAAUCAAGCAGGUCUGACUCUGAAGAAUGUAGUGAAAAAUGCAAGGAUGGCAUCUAUGCUUCUCAAAAUACUCCUGUGAGUAAUUUGACACAGACCUUUAUUAAUGAGUUAUUUGUUUCUCUAUAUUUGGAAAAUGGUAGUUUUCCUCAUAUGGUUAACAUCUUUAGUUCUUUUCAUACAACCAGUCAGAAAACAAUGUCUUCUCUUACACCUCCUAUAUUUUAGAUGUAUGUACUACAUCCGAAGCUGGAUUUACAUGGAUUGGGUUAUGAUCCGUUCAAGCAUGCUCCUGAAUUUAGAGGUAAUGGAAUCUAGUAAGUUGAUUAUUGUGCUCCAUUGCCAUACUUGAUUGGAAUUUCUCUAAGACAUUUGAUUCAUCCUUUUCAGAUAGGAAAACAUUCCAUGAAUCUAAAAAUAAGGAUCGUCAUUAUAGAAGUGAUGUUUCAAUGAAGGGGAAUCUUUUAGCUUCCAACUGUAAGAUAUCUUUAUCUGCCUGGAUUUCAGAUUUGACUGCAUUUGUAGAAUUUACGUAGGAAUGUCCCUUUGAGUGUUGUUGCCUAUUCAUUAUCAUCAUAAUACUUCAGCCUGUUGUCACUUGGAUUUACAACUUAAUCAUGGACUCAAUCAUCAGCAGGAAAAUAUGCCCCAGGCUUCGGAAUCGGAGCACUUGAGGAACUUGAUAUUGAAGAUGAGGAUAUUUACGCAUCAGGUAAGUAUUAGCAUGAUUAACAUUCUGCCAUGAUCACAUCAUACGUCAAUCAAUUUUCCAACAACUGGAAGCUAAUAGUUUUUGUUUGAAAACUGUCAGUCUAUUGACUAAUGUUUUGCUGCUAUUUUAUUUGGAUGCAAAGUUUUGCCACAUUUCAAUAAAUUAUUGAAGAAGUUUAUAGAACAAAAAAGUACUUCCUUGAGAAACAAAUAAUUGAGACAUGCAUAUGUUCCAUUUCCAAUUAGGGUAGCGGAAUGCCACUUAAUUCACAUUUGAAGUUUGAGCACAAGUUUUUUAAUGCAUUAUGAGUAUGGUGCUUGAUAAUAUCUAAGGGAUGGUAACUCUUUUAAUCCUUUAUCAAUCUCGUUGUGGAUAGGUCAUGCUUUGUUGUCUAGCCAACCAAUUAGUGCACACAAAAAGGACUUGUAUUACCUCUUAACCGAUUCAUCAUUUUCUUGGAUUCUCUUAAUAAAAGAGGGUAAUUCUUAAUGUCCUCGGAAGAUGUUUUGGUAUUAAACACUUCUAUGAAAUUCUUGCUAGCAGAACUUGCAUUCAAACUAGUAUUGUCCUUUUACAGGUUAUACUUUGUGAUCAUACUCACAUGAAAGCAUAUCAUUCAGACAAUGCAAAACUGCAGGUUUUUACAUGUCGUGACAUGACAAUGAACCCAUCAGAAUGAAGUUUAACUAGUUUUUAUUUUAUCAUCAUAUUUCUAGGCAUUGCACUUAAUAAUGGUUAAAAAUCUUUUCCUUCCACUCUCUCGCUCCCCUUUUUUCUUAAUAAUUAUCUUGUCUUGAAAACUCAAGUUUUUAUUUUUUAUUUUUUGCUUCUUCAAAUUAAGUGCUUCCAUUUUCAAUAGUUAAACCAAUUUAAAGAAAGCUAUUAGCUAAUUAAUUGGAAACCAACCAUGAGCUCUGGCGGAAAAUCACUUUAUGUUUCUACAUUUUUUUAAUUAGAAGGUGCAGUCAAAAAUAACAUUUGUGGGUUUAAUGCAACAUUUACCUGAAAAUAUAUCCUUUGAGAGUAAUAUUUGGAAAAUAUACCUUUUGUUAGAAUCACCUUAAUGGUUCUAUACUUCUAGCUUAAAGGCAUCGACUAGAUUUCCAACGAAUCAAUUAUGAUCCUAGACUACUUAUAGAUAAAAUAGUCAUAUUCCUAUAGAACUUAAUUGCGUGCUGUCUCUUACUGGCUUGAAUCCUUUAUCAAUUUUAGAUCCAAUUGUAUCCUGCAUGUUCCUUUGAUUGAUUCUGUUCUGCUAUUAUACUAAAGAACUGUGUUUUGUUCAAACAAACUAUAAUGCUUCAGGCCUUUCCAUCCCAAGUUUUGCCAGACUGUAACUUUAUGCUUCAUAUGUAUUCGUAUGGCCCACUUUUUUAUUGUCUAGUCUGUCUCUCUCUGAAACAUGGGUCAUGAAUGAUACUGAUGAGGCAAUGUUGUAAGGUAUCGUAAGAACCUUCAAUCCACAGGAUGAAGUUUCUGUUUCUAUCGUGAUUGUCUAUGAUGCAUCUAGGCUCAAUAAAGAUCAUUUUAACUCAAUUAACUGUCUUAGCUUGUAGAGUUGUUCUAGUGCUAUUUCUUAUUCUCUAAAAUAUCGUUUAUAGGUUUUGACUUUGAACAAACUGAAGUUGAAGAAGUUGAGCCUUCAAGAAUUAUCAGACACAAUAAGUAUAAACUGGAAGAUAAAAAGCAGGGAGUUCUGCCUGGUUUUAAAGUUGCAUCGAUUUCCGACUACAAUGUUGUAAGGUAGCUUUAACACAUCACAAGAUUCCCUGAUUCAUAAUUUUGUAAGGCCUUUUUUUUCCUAUAUUUGUUUUCACCUUCAUGAAUUGCAUUCUUUACUAAAUACCUGAGUGGAGCUUAUUAGUGGAUAAUAGAUACUAUUCAUCAAUGGUUGGCCCUUUGUUUAUUUUGGAGAUGCACCUUGACUUAUAUUGACUUGCUGCUCAAAUUUACUUUCAGAUUUCUCCCUCCUGUUAUUCCAGCUGAUUUUGAGCCAUAUCACAAGUUUCCUACCCCUCUUGAGAUGGAAGAUAAGUUAGCUGAGUUACCUCCUCCUGAGGUACCUCCUCCAGAAGACAAUAAUUUGAGACUGUCGAUCGAAGGGCUUGCAACUUUGGUUGCUCGUUAUGGGAAACAUUUUGAAGAUCUCUCCAAGGAGAAGCAUAGAUCCAAUCCAUUAUUCUCAUUUCUUAAUGGAGGAAAUGGCCACAGUUAUUAUGCAAGAAAGUUGUGGGAGGAGAAGCAAAAAAAGUUGAUCAGCGAAGGAUGGAAGAUGUAAAAUCCAAGUCAUCUGUCCAAACAAUGACUGCAGACAGUCGUGGAAGAAUUCUUGGUGAAAAGCCCUUGGAGAGAAGCUCCAGUGGAUCUAGCUCAUCUACUGCCUUCAAAGAAGUCGUCCAUUUCCAGUCCAAUCUUUCAGACACAUUUACCAAACCAAACUCUCUUGUAACUUUCUAUUCGUCGCUUAUUUUCUCCCAUCUUAUUCAGUAGCAAUUUUCUGUCUAAUAUCAUUUAGCUGGAUCCCAUGAAGUUAGUUUCUUGAGAAGGAUAAUACUUACACUAAGGCUUGUCCGGGCUGUAGGUCGAGUCAUCAGAAUCUGUAAAACCUUUCAAAAAUGAUCCUGCAAAGCAAGAAAGAUUUGAGUAUUUUCUUAAGGAUAAGUACGAAGGUGGCCUCCGUUCUACACAGGCCUUGGGUAGUAGUAUCAUGUCGGAGGCUGAUCGUGCCCGCGAGAGACUGGACUUUGAGGCUGCAGCAGAGGCAAUUGAAAAGGGCAAAGGGAACACAAAAAUUUGUGUUCCAUCAACCCACACAGUUUUGCCAGGACUUGGGGAGCAGUUCUUUAUACCAUCAACCGGAGUAGAGGUAUAUUUUGCAGUGUUUGCAGGGUUUCUGUUAGCUCAUAUCCCUUUUGAGAACUGAUUUAUGAUGCAUGUUGAACAUGUUCAAGCAGAAACAUGACAUUUCUCAAGAUGAAGAAAAGAUAAUGAAUAAGUUUUACCCAAAGAGAGAAGAGUUUCAGUGGCGACCUACACCCAUUCUAUGCAAGCGAUUUGAUAUCGUCGAUCCUUUCAUGGGGAAGGUAAAUCUGUCCAUAAUUAGCAUUGCACUGGGAAAGGUUUUUUUAUUCAACAUGAUUAGCAAGACUCUUUUCAAGGUUUUUCUAUGUGCAGAUUGAGGAAUAUUGCCUUUUGUCUUCUAGUAAUUUAGCUAAAUAUUGCUUGUCUGAGUUCUGGACUUUAUUUUCAUGAAGUGACAAGUGGCAUCGAUUAAAUGUCAUAUUCAUUGUGCAACUCUUUAUUCCUAUUAUAUCUUACCUUUUUAUCUAUGUAUGUGUGCGUAUUUGUCUAUGCAUGGACAAACACAGACAUCAUUGUAAUUGUUCUGAUCGCUGUUUAUUUACAUGUAUGUUGAUAUCCAAUUUUGUUUCACGCCGCAUCCAUCUAUUAGUUGCUAUAUUUUUUGCUAUCAUAGAAUGUAAUUAUCUUUUUAGCAGAUUUAUGUAGUCUGGAUCUGCUUCAUCGUAGGUUGCUUCCAUCUUUGAAACUGUCAGGUGAUUUGGUUCUUAUAAUUGAAUGACAGCCUUCCACUUGGUGGUAUCCAACAUCUGCUUUCCAGAUAACCACCUACUAAUGGCAGAGUUGAACUUAAUUUCAGUUGUGCAUGUGAUAGAUAGUUUUUUUAAGUAUCAAUCUGGAAAUUGAUCUUCUUGAACAAAAUGCACAGGUUCGAGUGCUUUGCCUGCUUAUGUAUGCUGUAGUCACACAUGCCAACAUCUAUCAGCCUAUUUUGUGGUGCAAAUGGUAUGGCACAUACAAUACAAACUUAUACGCAGAACAUACCCUAUAUAGUACCUGAUGUAUUGCAGUGGGGCAUCAUAUGGGGUAUCAUAUGACAUAUUAAGUUAUGUCAAAUAACCUGAAUAGGAAAUAGGUGUUGGAUCAAGGUUGCAGGGUCCCAGGAAUAUAAGAAGUGCCAGAGAAACCACUGAGCGUGAAGAUGUUAUGAACUAAGACUUGGCAACUAUCGUUUAGAAUAUGGAUGACACUAGUUGUAUAAAUGACAAAAGUACAGAUGGUGCAGCUCUGUGGUUGGCUUCCUAAAUACAUGGAAGCUAAAAGAAAGAUUUCUACUGAAAACUUGGUUGAGAGUGCAGGUGCCAUGCACCCAUAAGUCCUGGAGUGAUUACAACACCCUGAGUGGAAGGUCGUUGCUACUAAACCAAAACGUGAUAAAUCUAAAUCUCGCCAUUCGUCCAUAUUUCAACCUUGGAUCAGGUUCUGGUUGGAUCAUGUUCGUCGCAACCUUCUUGCAGUCAUUUCCAUAAGAAAGCUGAAAUCUAAUUAGGUUUGUCAAAUCUCCAAGAACACGUGUAUGAACCAUUGCAUGAUCAUUGCCCUGAUUUCCUCCAGUCUAGUGGGUGAUAAUUGAACCCUAUCCCCUUUUGACAAUGAAAGAGUACCCUUGCCUAGUUUUAUCUAAUGCUCUUUGCUGGGACAACUACCAGUUGGCUGUAUCAGAAUUUAAGGAACUCGAGUAUGUUUUGCCAGUAUGAUUCACAAAAGGGAGUGCACCAUUAUGCAGUCCAUCAACACACACCCUUUGUUAUAGCUGAUCAAAUUGAAAAAACUGCCAGGUACUUCAUAGUUUGUAAUUUGUAUUUCUCUGUGGUAACUGGUAAACUAUAUGGCUUAAUUCAAAUUUAAAGAGUCAGAGGGUGAUUUUUCCUUUUGAACUACCAAAAGAGCAAUUGUCAUUCCCUUUUUUGUUAUACAAUUUUUGGUGAAGAUCUAUUGCCAAUCCUUUAAAGGCAUGUCAUUAUGUUCUAUAUUACCCUUCAACAAACACAAGGAAAAGAGCCAUUGUUCUGAACCCUUUCACCAAUACAAUUUGGUCUUGAAAUUGCUUAAGGUCUUCAAUCAGCUUCUGUUAAGAUAUUGCUUAUAAAGCUAGUUUUAUUGUUCAACAUUUGGUAUCAAGUCCUAUAUAAAAAUCAACAUGCCAAAUUUUCUGUAUAUUUUGUGUUUCUUAAAAUGAGUUGUUUAUAUUUUUUUCCUUUGUCCAUCUGGUGCAGACGUUAAAUGUAAGAUCUCUAGUUUUUUGUUUUUUUGGCUCAAUGUAAGCCUUAAUUGGUAGAUCUAGCUUUCUGUGAUGACUGCAUGAUCUCAUUCUCAUGGCUUUUAGAUGUGAAUGCCUACUGCAAAUAUCUCAUAUUCUCGUCUCCUGCAAGCAGAUCUAACGAGAUAACUUCUUUCCAUUUGCAGCCACCACACUUGCCUAGACCCAGAAGCAAGAUGGAGACCCUUAUCUUUAUGACAGAAUCUCUCAAGAGUUCAAAGACUGAAGAGACAAGUUCUGCUGCCAGAGACUCAAAACACAUAUCUCUAUCAGAAGUACAGGAGGUUCAGAAACAACCAACUGCUAACGAGCCUGACAUUGAGCCAAGCACUACAACUGUGCAGAGGCCAGUUGAUCUAUAUAAGGUGCUUACUUGCAAUCUAACAAGAGAAAAUAAACAAACACUUAUUCCUGUUUUUGUUUAUUUGUUGUCGUUUUUUUUCAUCUGGUAUGUUCAAGCUUCUAAGAUGCAUGUUUGUCAUCAUGAGUUGCUGUAAAAUGGUGCAUAUGUUUGCAGUGCUCCUCUUAUGAUGGAGUUGAUCUUUAUUGGUUGCAGGCCAUUUUCUCUGAUGAAUCUGAUGAUGAUGUGGAUGGUGCUAGUCCCAGCCAAGUGGUUGAUCCUGCAAGUAAGAAUGAAGGUGCUAACACAACUUUAAACCGUUUGAUAGCAGGGGAUUUUCUAGAAUCUUUGGGUAAAGAGCUAGGACUAGAGGUUCCUCCUGAUAGGCCCUGCCAACCGUAUAAAGCCAACAGUUCAACCUUAACAGAAAAUGCUUCCAUGGGAGAUCUCAAAAUCCCAUCAACUAAUGAAAAAUCCACAUCUACAUUUGAAAUGCCCAAAGUGCUCUUGGAAAACAAGGAUGAAGCUUGCAAACCAUGGCCUCCUGAAAAUGGCAAAAACAGUGCUUCUGCUUCUAAAGCAUGGGAGAUUGAAGUUCCGCCUUUUAAUGGGGAUGGGCAUGGUCAUUGUUCCUCUUCGAAAGAUAGUUUUAACAUCUGUUUGAGGAGUGGAGUGGCUAGCGGUCGUCCUGAUGUUAAAAAUGAUAAAGUUCAAGUAGAGAAAGAUGAACUUGAUGCUAAAAUAAGUCGCUCACACUCAAAGUAUCGAAGAAGCAGGAGUAGCUCUCCAGAUACUGAUUCUUGUGAUCAACAUUGGAUUAAAAAAAGCAGAACUCACUCAAGGCAUCAUCGAGGCAGGAGCAAGACCCCAGAUACAGAUUCUUCUAGUGAUCAACAUCGUUCUAGAAAAAAUAGAACUCACUCAAGGCAUCAUCCAAGCAGGAGCAGAACUCCAGAUACUGAUUAUUAUAGUGAUCAAAAUAAAGCUAAACACAGUAGAACUCAAUCAAGGCAUCGCCAUAGGAGCACUACACCGGAUAUUGAUUCUUCUAGUGAUUGCCGGUAUCGUGAUCUCUCAAGGUCCGGAGUAGAAAAAUGUUCACCUCAAGGAAAAAGGAAAAAGCGCUCAAGACACCACAAGCACAAAAGGAGAUCUCCGGAUAGAUAUGCUAGCCGUGACAACGACAGGGAUCUCACAGAUGAUAGCAGAAAGGAUAGGAAAUCAGGGGACAGGGGAAGGCACUCUGCAAAAUCAAAAUCAGAUAGUCAUAGAAACUACCGUUGAACAUACUUAAGAUGAAAGAGAUGAAAAUCAUUCUAGAGUUGUAAGUGCUUUGUUUGCCUAUUGCUCAUUGUGCAUAGUCAAAAAAAAAUGCCAUGCUUUCUAUUUAAUUCUAUCAUGCAUUCAAUAGUUGUUUGGGAUGGAUAUCUUUUCUAUUUUCAUUUGUAUCGUGGCUUAUUUUAUAUUCUUGUAUAUUCCCGUCUAUCACUUCAGUGAUGUUUCCCACUAAGCAAAAUGGCACAUUACAUGUCUGCCUCUUCCCGUAAGUUUUUGUUGCAUUGUAGAAGAUGUUUUGCUUCUACACUUGAAGAUCUUCCAAGUACUUAUGCAGCAGCUUAUUUGGUUAUAAACUUGAAUCAACAUGUAUCGUGCUAUGCAUAAUCAUCAGGUUGCACACUUCUACUAAAUCUUGACAGCAAUAUCUGGUAUUUGAUAUAUAAACAAAAGAAUAUUGUUCCAGAAUUAUAUGCAUCUCUGUAGCUAUAUAACCAGCAUAACAGGAUGCUGUAGAAAUCCUCGUCAAGAGUAUUAAUAUUAUUCAAGUUAAUAGUUUCUAAAGAAACAAUUACAUUCUUGUCGUAUAUCUGGCUUCCGUUAUCUUGUUGUCUUUAAGCUGAUUUUGAACCUUAUCUUUUUAUUAUACGAUUGACAGGUAGCAUGUUUUGGAAAUUAGGCAUUAUGUUCCUUUUAACUUCACAUUUGUGUCAUGUGUGAUGCAAGUGGGAAGAGGAAAUAUGGAUGCUUGCAGUCUGAUGGAUGGAGUUGUGCUCGUAAUAAGAAAGACAUGGAAAGGAAAGAAUUUCAUCUGGAUAAAUGGUUGGAUUUCUCUUUUAGGCCUACUAUUUUUUUUUCUGUUUAAUUUCCCCCCUCUUAUUCUCUUAUUUGAGCCUUUCCUUAGACUCUUCCUUAGGUGUUUCAAUUUCCUUUCUUGGUUUCUUAUCUCAUGUGUGGGACUGUGGUUUUUAAAAGGAGGGAUAUCUGGCCUUCCCAUGAAUUUUGGCCCUCCUAUUAGCUCUCCCCCACCUCCCUUUCUUUUUUCCCUGAAGGUUUCUAUCUUAUGGAUAAUUAUUGAGUGGAAGUAAGGUUGAACGUUAAGGCACUCACCAGGAGUUUGCUUUACAUUAUGGUAAAGAUAGCUAUUGGGGCCUUAAAUUGUCACUGAGGGACGUUUUUCAGGUUUUCUCAAACUGGUAGAAGAGAAUUUUAACAGAAUUGGGACCUCAUCUGAAAAUAUUGCUGUGCUGCUGGCUGAGCUAAGGACUUUAGCUUCUGAAGGGAUGGUUUUGCCUUUAACGUGACCUUUUUGGGUUCUUCUGGCUGCUGUUGCUCUAGGUCAAUUGCUCUUUUUAUCAUUGCAUAGAUGUUUCAUAAUAUUGAAAUAUCAUAUUAAAUAUUUAUUUUUAAUCAACUCUUCUUAUCACUAGUUUUGUAGAAAAUUAUUUUGUUCAGAUACUUAAUAGGUGCUUCCGCAUCCUAAUCUUUUUGAAACUUCCAUGAGGCUUCCUUCUUAAACUCCUAGUACGUCCUCAUCGUGGCUCUGUUUCAUGCCUCAUUUCAUAGGAAACGUCAAAGUGGUUCCAUUAUAUUAUAUUCCAUCUAGAUCCAUCGGCCACUUAGGGUGGAGUCAGGGAUCUCAGAUCUGGCUGAAAGGUGUAGUUGAUGACAAGUGAAUAUUCCUUUACCUACAAGGCAGCAACCAAUUCCACUUUCACACCCACCCUCAGUUUAGAUAUCUAAGGGAUAAAAUCAAUUUGCAAGUUGUUUCUAAUAAUUUGUGUAUGGGUUUUUUGUGUACAUACUCUCCUAAAUAUUGAAAUUUGUAUGAAUACCCUCAUAAAAUUGAUAUUUGCAUGUAUACUCUUAUAAAAUACUUGUUUUGCGUGUAUAUCCUUUAUUUUUCUUUUUUCUUGCAUAUGUGCUCACACCAUCUAACGCCGUCAAAAAAUUAGCGGUUUAAAAUUAAAAAUGACUGAAAUAUCCUUAAUGGGUAGGUAUGCAAAAGAAAAUAUUUAUAAGGGUAUAUAUACAAAUAAUACUAUGCGAGGGUUCAUACAAUUUCACAUAUUUAGGAGGGUUUACAUGCAAAAAAAUUCUAAUUUUAUUUUUUUCUAUUUCAACCUGUUUUAACACUCAGAUUUGUCUAGGGUGGCCUUCUACCACAUGGACGUGGAGAUUGUUAAUAAAUCUGAAGGGUUCGAAGUCCUUCAAUGAUUUUGCUUGGGGAUGAUUGAUAUUGCUUUUCCACCCAUGAACAUAGCAAUAGCAAGGAAGCUUGAUCAUUGUAAUCUAUCGUUUGCCUUUAAGAGAUUCUAAUCCUUUUUCUAUAUUCUAAUGUAUGCCCUCAUAUAUGCAUCUAUAACAAUAAAUAUUAUAAGUUAUGUUUCGAUUAAAUAAGAUAUAGAGGUUGUUAUCAAUGAAGAAGAAUAAAGUAGGUUAAUCUGAUAAUUAGUGAAAGAACUUCCAUAACUCUUUUCGUUAUCUAAUUGUCGAAUCAAUUUUUUUUAAGCAAUUUUCUUAUGGAAAACAUUGAGGAGCGGGCGCUAGACAAAUUCGAGUAUUAAAACAAAUUGAAAUAGAAAAACAUAAAAUUAAAUUUUUUUGCAUAUAAAUCCUCCUAAAUAUGUAAAACUGCAUGAAUACUCUCGCAAAGUAUUAUUUGUAUAUAUACCCUUAUAAAUAUUUUCUUUUGCAUAUCUACCCUUUAAGGAUAUUUCAGUCAUUUUUAAUUUUAAACCGCUAUUUUUUGAUGGCAUUAGAUGGUGUGGGCACAUAUAUACAAAAAAAAAAAGAGAAAUAAAGGGUAUUCAUGCAAAACAAGUAUUUUAUAAGGGUAUACAUGUAAAUAUGAAUUUUAGGAGGUUAUUCAUGCAAAUUUCAAUAUUUAGGAGAAUAUCUACGCAAAAAAUCCUUUGUUUAUGGAGUUAACUAUGAUUGAAGUAUAUGUUCUUGACCUCAUGGUCUGGUAAAAACGUUACAUCCUUGCUACCCCCUGCCCCAACAAAAAAAAAAAAAAGAAACCUGCAUAUUUUGUUUGAUGGCAGUGAGAAAGAAGACUAGAACAUGUGAAGAUUUUCUAUAAUUUGUCUCAAGAAGUUGUUCUUGAGACAGGUCAUUUGCAUGUGCUUCUUAUGACGAGAGGAAAUGACAGAAUCUCUGUUAUUGUCCACAAGUUACUUAUGUUAUAAACCAUCACUUUCUUAGCUCUCUCUUUCAGGGGAGAUACAUGCUGCAUGAUAUGGGAACUAUUCUUUUUUUUUGAACAAAGUGGUCUCGGACAAUUUAUCAGAGUGCUGUGGGAAGUAUCACUCAACAUGAUUUGGUGUGGAUCGAACGCUAAAUAGCCAACAGUUGUUGUUUUUUUUAUAAUUACCUUGGACACCAUUUUGGAAUUUUUGUUGGGCAAAGCCACUAAUUCUGCGAAAUGGUGAUUGAAGUGAUGUUUAUUCCAUGUAUUAAAGUUGGAUAAACCUGCCUUCCUGGUUUCCAUUGACUAUGGGUGUAGUUCUUUUUUCAGUUAUGUAGCUAUUUUGGGAAUCUCAGUACUUUUGAAUUGGAUUAUGAUUCUUAGGAACAAGGUAUGCCAUACCAUAUCGAACCGCAUGGUACGGGACGUAUUAUAAUGUACCAGUACGUGGUAUCGGGGGCAUACCGACACUCAGUAUGCCGAAUUGGCCCCUGUACUAGGCAUGCUGAUAUAGUAACAGGGUGGCACCAGUACAGGAUCCCGAUACCCACAGCAUACCUUGCUUAGGAAUAUGGUUGUAGUGUUCCCUUGCUAGUAGGAGUAUUUUGUUCACUUACAUUGUAGGUGGACGGGUCAAAUGCCUUUUUGUAUCUGAAGGUUUAUUAGAGUCCAUAAAGCCUUGCCGACCAAGGGAGUCAAAGUGCCUGUAGGCAAUGUGCCACUCCCUUGAUAAAUCUUAUGUAUAAUGUCUGGGAGCAGAAGCAAAGAAUUGAGCAUGCUAAAGAUCAUAUCUAAUUAUUUUGAUUGAUAUCUUAUGCAAUUUAAAUACUUCAGAAGUUUGAAUUUUAAUUUUUUUGCUAAAUUCCUAUACAAUAGUUCAAAAGAGUCCAAAUGUUUCAAAAGAUUGCAUAAAGUAUAGCUAUCAUAAUCUAUAAACGGCACACUAAAAUUAUAAGAAUGUAAAAUUACUGUCUAGAUAACUAAAUAAUCUGCGAUACUGUUGGGCUUAUAUAAUUUAUUGCUUCUAAUUUUUAAAUUAGUAGCAAUAUUAUCAAUUAUAUAAGUGGAUGGGCACAGACAGACAGCUUGCUGUUGAGGGAGCCACUUUGAAAGCCAAGCAUAUGCCUUAAGUGGGCCUAUUCAGGUUAAGUCUAGGCAGUAGACCCUUCUGGAGCAGCAUCUUUGGCUUCAGUUGAAUUAACAAAUUGUUUAGCUGCUUCUGUCAUCAUGAUAAAAAGUCCUAUCUCGCUCCUACUCAUGGCUGAUUUUAGUGAAAACAUAUCAUUGCCACCUAUCAACAGAUACUGCGAUACAUGAAUUACCAUUUGUCAAUGUUUCGACUUAUUUGACACUGCACAUUUAUUUCUAUAUCCGAUUAUAUAUUUGUAUUCCAGUUUCUUUGUCUUAUUCUGAUCUUCUUUGCUCAUCUACAAGCACUUAGCAGAUAAGUGCUGCUUUUCUUUAAACUAUCUGUGCUAGGCAUCCGAUUCCUUGUGUGUGAAAUCAUGUUUCGUUUUUGAUAGUUUAGUCUUUCUAUGAUCUUGGCAUUAGAUGUCUUCUGACAGAGGCAUUCACUACAAGCUAGGACGGAUUACUGCUCUGUGAUUUGAGCUGGAAAGAGAAGAAUGCAGAGAGCCUGUUGCAUGUUUUGUUUUGGUGGUAUGCUUGUGUUUUGAGCCUUAUUGAUACUUCUUUCUCUUCUUGUUAUCUCAACAUGAUAUUUGUCUUGUUACUUUAUCUUCUUAUAUUCCAUCUAAGAAGGCUUCAACUAAUAGUGUGCUAACAUACUUGCGACCAGGAAGCUGUUCAGUGUGGAAGCAUUUAUUUUUGAACAGGAAAAUUAUUCUAAGUGGUUCGGCAUAUCAUAGCCUUAAAUGCAGAAGGCCAGACCUUCUGCGAAAGCUAAAUCCUGUAAGCAAAGUUGUUCCUAAAGAGCAAGGAGGUUCUUUAAAUUACAGAACACUUCAAAAGAGAAGUUGCUUUUUGUCUGUCUUAAAGAGUGCCUUUGCCGUACCGCAAUUAGGAGGUUGAAAACCAUGCUUGUUUUGGCAUUUGGCUCUUGGAUUUUGUUAUCAUAUGAUGCUAUGACAACCAUCUUAAUGAAUAACGCUCACUGCCCUCCAAAUUUGAAACGAAGCAUUAUAUGCCUGGUCUUGCACCUGCCAGUUAUAUAUAUAUAUAUAUAUAUAUAUAUGCGACGAACGGGNNNNNNNNNNNNNNNNNNNNNNNNNNNNNNNNNNNNNNNNNNNNNNNNNNNNNNNNNNNNNNNNNNNNNNNNNNNNNNNNNNNNNNNNNNNNNNNNNNNNNNNNNNNNNNNNNNNNNNNNNNNNNNNNNNNNNNNNNNNNNNNNNNNNNNNNNNNNNNNNNNNNNNNNNNNNNNNNNNNNNNNNNNNNNNNNNNNNNNNNNNNNNNNNNNNNNNNNNNNNNNNNNNNNNNNNNNNNNNNNNNNNNNNNNNNNNNNNNNNNNNNNNNNNNNNNNNNNNNNNNNNNNNNNNNNNNNNNNNNNNNNNNNNNNNNNNNNNNNNNNNNNNNNNNNNNNNNNNNNNNNNNNNNNNNNNNNNNNNNNNNNNNNNNNNNNNNNNNNNNNNNNNNNNNNNNNNNNNNNNNNNNNNNNNNNNNNNNNNNNNNNNNNNNNNNNNNNNNNNNNNNNNNNNNNNNNNNNNNNNNNNNNNNNNNNNNGAUUGAAGGGAUCGAUAAUUAUUAUGUCGCCUCUGUUAAAUGGAAAGACCAGAUUGUAUAGUAUCCCGUUGAAACACAACUCUCUUUUAAAGAAUGCAUUAGUAUUGAAAUAUGAUUUUUUGCUUGUUCAUCAUCCGAUUUCUAGUUCUUUUCGAAAUGACAAUAGAUGUGGCUGCACAAUCUAAUAUCAAGUAACAUUACCAAAUCUAUCGAGGGGGACCCUUGGAUAUAAGUUUAUUAAGAUGUCAGACUUGUACAAAACCAUUUGGGCGUUGGUACCGGUUGAGGGUUGCUAAAACAAUAUUAGAAAAAUUAAGCAAUAAUUUAAAUUCAUCCUCACUGCCAGGAUGGCGCAGGAAUUGGUGAUAUAUAUUGAUCAAUAAUUUGAUAUGGUCCUCUUAAGACAACAUAGGCGGUGCUCUUUUCCCAAAAAAAAAGAAAAAAAAGAAUGGGCUUGGUCAUCAAAAUAGCCUAUCAAAAGAUAUUGCUAAACAAAACAAUUUCCUAGGAUGCGUUUAAUAUUUUGCCGAUUUAUGGUUGUGAAGUUGGUUUCCCUCUGAAAUUCUGUUUGAUGAUUAUGAUGUACAAGUAGGUGAGCUGUGGUUUGUCCUGUUAGAUAAGAGAGGUGGCCCUUGGGCAAGAAUGCAUGACCAUCACAAGGCAAGCCUAAUCUCGAUGUAGUCUCACCUGCUCUAAGGUUUCUUAUUUGCCGUUUGCUGCUGCAAAGGUUAAUAUGGAGAGUCAUAGCUAAAGAAACAAGUGUUGGGUGCUUGAUGGGAUCAUUAGGUGAAUAGCUUGGGAUCUCGCAUUACGCAUGUUUGGCUUUAUCCUGAACUUUGUUUUGGCUUGACAGAACGAAAGGAAAGAUAAUUUAUGUGCUGGCCAAGCAUUUCCAAGAAUGCUGGUUGGGUUCAUUGUCUUGAUGAUUUUGAUGGGCUAUCCAUACUGUUUUAUUUUAACCCAUGGUUGGUGUCGCUGGCUUGGUUUUUCUUUUUAAUACAUGGUCACUAAGUCAGUGCCCAUCAAAGCAAUAUGGUAAUCCAUGACUCAUUGGUAACCCACAAUUUGGGUCAAUGACAUUGCUAAAUUCUUUAUUCAAACGUAGUUGAUGGGUAGCUAUUUUUUCUAUGUCCAUUGAUGUCAUUCAUUCACAUACAGAACAAUAAUUAAUAAUAAAGGAGAGAUGGGUGGCUUGGGGGACCGCCAACCAAUCCGAAGGGCGUCCAAAAAAUAAAAGUUCUCCAGUAAAGUGCCAAUCCAUAGCUAGAAAAGAUAAGAGAGCAUCUGCUUAAAUGAACGCCAUUUGUCAUUUAAUGAGUUGUUCCUCCUUGAGACUACAAUUUCUAAAAGCAACUUGGGAUGUGGCUGCCUUUGCUGUUGAACAACGCAAUAAAUGACGCAGCUAACCAUGUGGCUUACUCAAAAGUUGACACUAUUUUAACAAUGCUAAGAUGCAGCUGUCUUUAUUCAAGAUUUACUUCAUGCAACCAAAGAGAUUGAGGCACGAAGGAGAUGUGCCUGGCCUGGAGUGGAGCACGGCAUUCAAUGGUGAGGCUCCAAAUGGCAGUUUUCCGUCGGACAGAGCAAAGGCAUACCUCUCCACAGGCCAAACCAAACCUAUCGGGAUUCCCAAGUUUUCCAAUCCGAAGCCAAGGAUUGGAAGGUGAAACUUUCUGGUUGUCAAGUGAUCAGCUUAGCAUUGUAAUGAAGGGCAUUUUGAUAAGACUGGCUUCAGGCAUGAGCCAUGCACGUAUCUUGUGAAAUUAGAUACUUUUCUUUUGCAUGGCCAUUAUCAGUGAGCAAGAAGAUUUUGUAAUGUGCUCAUGGAUGAUCAACUCAAGAGCUCAUGACGAGACACCGCGGAAGCUAGAUAUAUGCUGUGAGGUGGCAGGAUUUAUCAAAAAAAAGAAAAAGGUAGCCCAAGGGCAAUCUCAUGUAUGGACAUAUACACAAGCAAACAAUUAUGUAGGAAUUAGUUGUUAUUAUCCACUAUCUUAUGUUUUCCUCAAAUUAGUUGGCUAAUAGCAUGAUAAAACAUAAUUAUUUUUGAUCUAUCUAUGUGGUUGCCCUCAUGAUAGGUUUUUACAUAGACAUGCAAAUUUUAUGAUUAUUAAUAAUAUAAAAGAGAGUUUAAGUUAAUGUCUCAUUAGAUAUGCCAAUUAAAGCCCUCACUAAACCCCACCCAAACACAAG
Molecule: long non-coding RNA, 23059 nt
Filed under: Phoenix dactylifera (date palm)
Lineage: Eukaryota; Viridiplantae; Streptophyta; Magnoliopsida; Arecales; Arecaceae
Description: long non-coding RNA (PDAC_LNC000749)
Source: RNAcentral